Molecule: ribosomal RNA, 468 nt
Filed under: uncultured bacterium
Lineage: Bacteria
Description: partial 16S ribosomal RNA
Rfam family: Bacterial small subunit ribosomal RNA
Source: RNAcentral
GACGAACGCUGGCGGCGUGCUUAACACAUGCAAGUCGAACGGAAAGGCCCUGCUUUUGUGGGGUGCUCGAGUGGCGAACGGGUGAGUAACACGUGAGUAACCUGCCCUUGACUUUGGGAUAACUUCAGGAAACUGGGGCUAAUACCGGAUAGGAGCUCCUGCUGCAUGGUGGGGGUUGGAAAGUUUCGGCGGUUGGGGAUGGACUCGCGGCUUAUCAGCUUGUUGGUGGGGUAGUGGCUUACCAAGGCUUUGACGGGUAGCCGGCCUGAGAGGGUGACCGGCCACAUUGGGACUGAGAUACGGCCCAGACUCCUACGGGAGGCAGCAGGGGGGAAUAUUGCACAAUGGGCGGAAGCCUGAUGAAGCAACGCCGCGUGCGGGAUGACGGCCUUCGGGUUGUAAACCGCUUUCGCCUGUGACGAAGCGUGAGUGACGGUAAUGGGUAAAGAAGCACCGGCUAACUACGUG